CAGCCGCCGCGGUAAUACGUAGGUGGCAAGCGUUGUCCGGAAUUAUUGGGCGUAAAGGGCUCGCAGGCGGUUUCUUAAGUCUGAUGUGAAAGCCCCCGGCUCAACCGGGGAGGGUCAUUGGAAACUGGGAAACUUGAGUGCAGAAGAGGAGAGUGGAAUUCCACGUGUAGCAGUGAAAUGCGUAGAGAUGUGGAGGAACACCGGUGGCGAAGGCGACUCUCUGGUCUGUAACUGACGCUGAGGAGCGAAAGCGUGGGGAGCGAACAGGAUUAGAUACCCCGGUAGUCCCUGUCUCUUAUAC
RNAcentral lists this ribosomal RNA (301 nucleotides) under uncultured bacterium. RNAcentral describes it as "partial 16S ribosomal RNA". It matches the Rfam family "Bacterial small subunit ribosomal RNA", at positions 509 to 807 of the family's 1533-position model. The record is from RNAcentral.